AACCUUACCUACUCUUGACAUCCAGAGAACUUUCCAGAGAUGGAUUGGUGCCUUCGGGAACUCUGAGACAGGUGCUGCAUGGCUGUCGUCAGCUCGUGUUGUGAAAUGUUGGGUUAAGUCCCGCAACGAGCGCAACCCUUAUCCUUUGUUGCCAGCGGUUCGGCCGGGAACUCAAAGGAGACUGCCAGUGAUAAACUGGAGGAAGGUGGGGAUGACGUCAAGUCAUCAUGGCCCUUACGAGUAGGGCUACACACGUGCUACAAUGGCGCAUACAAAGAGAAGCGACCUCGCGAGAGCAAGCGGACCUCAUAAAGCGCGUCCUAUCCGGAUUGGAGUCUGCAACUCGACUCCAUGAAGUCGGAAUCGCUAGUAAUCGUAGAUCAGAA
RNAcentral lists this ribosomal RNA (386 nucleotides) under Cedecea sp. FES27. Its description in RNAcentral is "bacterial SSU rRNA". It matches the Rfam family "Bacterial small subunit ribosomal RNA", at positions 967 to 1354 of the family's 1533-position model. Lineage: Bacteria; Pseudomonadati; Pseudomonadota; Gammaproteobacteria; Enterobacterales; Enterobacteriaceae. The record is from RNAcentral.